Molecule: long non-coding RNA, 740 nt
Organism: Cryptomeria japonica (Japanese cedar)
Lineage: Eukaryota; Viridiplantae; Streptophyta; Pinopsida; Cupressales; Cupressaceae
Exons: 2
Source: RefSeq, a predicted model, not a curated record
UCAUCAUUACUUUCAUAAGUCUAGAUCCACACACUCUGGAUCGAUUUUCUUAGCCAAGGGAAGUUUUAAACAAAUCUGAGAUACCAAUUUUUGAUAGGCAAAAAGAGAUUGGAAAUCGAUAUAUUGGAGGCUUCUUUCAAAUCGCACCCCUCCCCAUUCAUUCCCUACGUAUCUAUUGGACUGCAAAGGUACUUUAGGAGAUUGAUCUUCGUGAGAAAGGAUAAGGAGAUUAAGCCAGUCAAAUUGGAGGAGGCGCGCCUCUCUCCACCACUCCUCAUCACGUUAUUGCUGAGUCUUCCUCCUGUCAACUCCAGGUGAGCAGAUUGCACUCUCCCUCCUCUCUCCAUUUCCACCUUUGCAAUUCUAUCGACCUACAUAGGCGACUUGGGGAGAUCAAAUUUGCCUGCAAGGAGAGCCGCCUCUCCUCUCCUCUCCUCUCCUCACCAUCGACUUUGUAGAGUUUAUUUCUGGAUGGGAGCUCGACAAGAACACCAAAAACAAAAGCUUCAUUUGGUUGGACGGAUAAAAUGCCUGGGUCAUUUUUAUGACAUUGUAAAGUCUUAUGGACUAAUGUAUAUUGUAUGGUAUCAUUAUUGUAAAUGACCAGUUAUGGUCUCAUGAGUAAGUUAUAUGAGUUACAUGUAUAUGACCUAUAAGGUCUAUUGAUGUAAAUAUGAUAGGAAGUCGCUAUGUAAAAUGUAACUAACAAAAAAAGUAAGGAAAAUAACAAUUUUCUAUCA